Molecule: non-coding RNA, 1195 nt
Organism: Peromyscus maniculatus bairdii (prairie deer mouse)
Lineage: Eukaryota; Metazoa; Chordata; Mammalia; Rodentia; Cricetidae
Source: RefSeq, a predicted model, not a curated record
GAUGCUAUGGCUUCAAUCUCCUGCAAAUGGGAAGAGUUUAGUUCAUCCUCAGGAACCUCAGCCAUGGUCAAGAAUCAAACCAUUUAUUCUCCAAGUGGGCUGGCAAUAGCACCCACCAGCUUAUGUGUGUUACCCUGCUGUUGAGUCUUCUACCUGACCAAAAGCAGCUCCAGCCAACACCACUGAACUAACUUUACAGCUUGCUGUCACUCAGCAGAGAUCGUCAGAGAAGAGCCUGUGAGAUGACUCAGUGGGUGAAGGCUUUGCUGCAGGCCCGACCAGACCUCUGUGAAGGUGUUAGAACCAACUCUGUCACAGUUUCCUGUCACCACCACAUGUGUGCUGAGAUCCAUGUGCGCCCCCUGCUUACAUCGUACACAGAAUAAUAAUAAAUAGAAAAGAAACACAUCAUUGAAGACAACAGGAAGCGGCAGGGAGUGUUGCCUGAAUCCUGAAGUGUCGAGACUGCCUGUGAGGAGCCUCUGAGAUGGCUGUUUGGAGUGUGUUGCAUCCAGACUCUACACCAAGUGCAGUUUUACUGUUCUCCUCAUGUGCACCAGCCAGAGGAACGCCUCACCCCGCUCUUCUGACAGCAGAGGGCAGGAUGCUUAGGAGGUAGGCUUGCUGGAGUUGCAUGGAAAAUGACGGUGUCCCUCGGAGGCCUGUGUACCAGCCUUGUCAUAAACAGCCUCCUCAGAAAGGCACCUGGAACCUUACUUCUAGGUUUCUGUUUAGGGUGGGGUUUACUCACUCUGCCUUCAGAUAACCCUGGCUUUCAUCUUGUAAUUUUUAGAAAGAAUGACUAACAGAUUGUCUUCAUAGUCAGAUGUUCCCUCUGUGUUCUUUGUAGCCAUUUCAACAUCUUUGUAUAAUUCUUUCAGAGCUCUUCAAGGCAGUGCCCACUUAUAGGGCUAUGGAUGGUGUGCCGGGCAUAGUGUUCAGUGAAUGUUGGAUGAGCUUUCUUGCAGUCUUUCUUGAUGAGGAUAGACAUAGACCAAAGAGGACUUGGUUUCAGCCUUUCAGAGUAGUUAUGAUUGUUAAAAUAAGAGGAAAACAAGUCAUGUUCCAAACCUGACUACAAAUGUCUUGUCUUAGGAUUGCAGAGGAGGAGACCAAGAAUACAAUGGUUCAGUGGUUAAGAGCACUUGCUGCUUGUGGUGGUUUGACAGAAAAUGGCCCCCAAAGGGAGUGGCAC